UUCCGGGGGUCAGCUCCUAUAGAAAUGUUCUGUGUGGCAUGUCCUCCUGGUACAUACAGUGACGGGGUAGUCUCUUAUUGUACAGAAUGUAAAAGUGGCUAUUACCAAAAGCUUUCAGGACAAUCAACUUGCAAACAGUGCCCGCCUGGUACAACUACAACUGGCACGGGAUCAACUGAAUGUGCGAGGGUACCGAUGUAACAUUAUCAACACGCGAACUUAACCAUGGCAACGAUUUAUACAUGUUUUUAAAACAUGCCUCUGACUUUGUUUUAUUUUUAUUUUUUAUUUUUUGAAAAUUCGCACAAUCAUUCAAAAGUGUUAGAUAUUUGCAAAGUAUUUAUACAUUUUUUUUACAAUACACUGUCAAUAUUUUUUUCGGAUAUAUUCAACAAAUAGAGUAAGAAAAUUGUUUGAUUUUGCAGGUUUCUUAGGACAUUUAAAAGAAUCUAUCGUAGAUACUAAAAUUAUUACGCUCAUGUAAAUUAUUUCUUUUCAAAGGUUUCCACUGAUAUUUGUAACAUAUUUUGCAAUAAUCUGGCACACGAUCAGUUUUUAAAAUAAAUGCAAAAUAGACUCUGAUUAUCUUUCAUAUUGGAUAACUAUGGUUAUGAUGACCGAUCAAAAACAAUUUAAAGUCGUACUUUUAUUGAAUUACCAUGAGGCAGUUAGGAUUGCUUUGAACAUACUAGUACUUUACAGACUUAGGAAAGUUUUCUGAACAUAGUUAAAUGAUCGACAAAAUAUACAUAUGUUUAUUUUGGUUUGUCAGCUCUUUCCUUUUAAAAUUGAAGUGUUGAAAUUAUUUACAGAAGUGAUGUUAAGAGACCAUUAUUUAAGUAUCUAAUUCAAGGCUUCAUAGAAAUAACAGUUUCAAUUUCCAUAAAACAGGUUAGUUGUAUGGAGAAUAAACGUUAACUGAG
This is a long non-coding RNA of Ruditapes philippinarum (Manila clam), 923 nucleotides long. RefSeq lists it as uncharacterized. The transcript has 2 exons. Lineage: Eukaryota; Metazoa; Mollusca; Bivalvia; Venerida; Veneridae. The record is from RefSeq and is a predicted model, not a curated record.